This is a long non-coding RNA of Anguilla anguilla (European eel), 216 nucleotides long. RefSeq lists it as uncharacterized. The transcript has 3 exons. The record is from RefSeq and is a predicted model, not a curated record. NCBI's taxonomy places the organism in Eukaryota, Metazoa, Chordata, Actinopteri, Anguilliformes, Anguillidae.
CUGAACGGAUUGCUAAGCCAACCUAAUGCAAGUCCUUUCAUCUUCCCACAAGCAAAUUUUACCCACCUGCCCAACGAGAUUCGUGCUAAUGUGGAGUAUGUCUUUCGGGAAGGUGACAUCAACCAACCAAGCAAGUUCCUGGCUGCGAUACUGGCAGUUAGUGCUUCCCCUGCCAUUGCUACAACGAGUUCUCCAGCAGUGACCACCACAGCAGCU